Molecule: ribosomal RNA, 2396 nt
Filed under: Escherichia coli
Lineage: Bacteria; Pseudomonadati; Pseudomonadota; Gammaproteobacteria; Enterobacterales; Enterobacteriaceae
Description: partial 23S ribosomal RNA
Rfam family: Bacterial large subunit ribosomal RNA
Source: RNAcentral
GGGACACGUGGUAUCCUGUCUGAAUAUGGGGGGACCAUCCUCCAAGGCUAAAUACUCCUGACUGACCGAUAGUGAACCAGUACCGUGAGGGAAAGGCGAAAAGAACCCCGGCGAGGGGAGUGAAAAAGAACCUGAAACCGUGUACGUACAAGCAGUGGGAGCACGCUUAGGCGUGUGACUGCGUACCUUUUGUAUAAUGGGUCAGCGACUUAUAUUCUGUAGCAAGGUUAACCGAAUAGGGGAGCCGAAGGGAAACCGAGUCUUAACUGGGCGUUAAGUUGCAGGGUAUAGACCCGAAACCCGGUGAUCUAGCCAUGGGCAGGUUGAAGGUUGGGUAACACUAACUGGAGGACCGAACCGACUAAUGUUGAAAAAUUAGCGGAUGACUUGUGGCUGGGGGUGAAAGGCCAAUCAAACCGGGAGAUAGCUGGUUCUCCCCGAAAGCUAUUUAGGUAGCGCCUCGUGAAUUCAUCUCCGGGGGUAGAGCACUGUUUCGGCAAGGGGGUCAUCCCGACUUACCAACCCGAUGCAAACUGCGAAUACCGGAGAAUGUUAUCACGGGAGACACACGGCGGGUGCUAACGUCCGUCGUGAAGAGGGAAACAACCCAGACCGCCAGCUAAGGUCCCAAAGUCAUGGUUAAGUGGGAAACGAUGUGGGAAGGCCCAGACAGCCAGGAUGUUGGCUUAGAAGCAGCCAUCAUUUAAAGAAAGCGUAAUAGCUCACUGGUCGAGUCGGCCUGCGCGGAAGAUGUAACGGGGCUAAACCAUGCACCGAAGCUGCGGCAGCGACGCUGAUGCGUUGUUGGGUAGGGGAGCGUUCUGUAAGCCUGCGAAGGUGUGCUGUGAGGCAUGCUGGAGGUAUCAGAAGUGCGAAUGCUGACAUAAGUAACGAUAAAGCGGGUGAAAAGCCCGCUCGCCGGAAGACCAAGGGUUCCUGUCCAACGUUAAUCGGGGCAGGGUGAGUCGACCCCUAAGGCGAGGCCGAAAGGCGUAGUCGAUGGGAAACAGGUUAAUAUUCCUGUACUUGGUGUUACUGCGAAGGGGGGACGGAGAAGGCUAUGUUGGCCGGGCGACGGUUGUCCCGGUUUAAGCGUGUAGGCUGGUUUUCCAGGCAAAUCCGGAAAAUCAAGGCUGAGGCGUGAUGACGAGGCACUACGGUGCUGAAGCAACAAAUGCCCUGCUUCCAGGAAAAGCCUCUAAGCAUCAGGUAACAUCAAAUCGUACCCCAAACCGACACAGGUGGUCAGGUAGAGAAUACCAAGGCGCUUGAGAGAACUCGGGUGAAGGAACUAGGCAAAAUGGUGCCGUAACUUCGGGAGAAGGCACGCUGAUAUGUAGGUGAAGUCCCUCGCGGAUGGAGCUGAAAUCAGUCGAAGAUACCAGCUGGCUGCAACUGUUUAUUAAAAACACAGCACUGUGCAAACACGAAAGUGGACGUAUACGGUGUGACGCCUGCCCGGUGCCGGAAGGUUAAUUGAUGGGGUUAGCCGCAAGGCGAAGCUCUUGAUCGAAGCCCCGGUAAACGGCGGCCGUAACUAUAACGGUCCUAAGGUAGCGAAAUUCCUUGUCGGGUAAGUUCCGACCUGCACGAAUGGCGUAAUGAUGGCCAGGCUGUCUCCACCCGAGACUCAGUGAAAUUGAACUCGCUGUGAAGAUGCAGUGUACCCGCGGCAAGACGGAAAGACCCCGUGAACCUUUACUAUAGCUUGACACUGAACAUUGAGCCUUGAUGUGUAGGAUAGGUGGGAGGCUUUGAAGUGUGGACGCCAGUCUGCAUGGAGCCGACCUUGAAAUACCACCCUUUAAUGUUUGAUGUUCUAACGUUGACCCGUAAUCCGGGUUGCGGACAGUGUCUGGUGGGUAGUUUGACUGGGGCGGUCUCCUCCUAAAGAGUAACGGAGGAGCACGAAGGUUGGCUAAUCCUGGUCGGACAUCAGGAGGUUAGUGCAAUGGCAUAAGCCAGCUUGACUGCGAGCGUGACGGCGCGAGCAGGUGCGAAAGCAGGUCAUAGUGAUCCGGUGGUUCUGAAUGGAAGGGCCAUCGCUCAACGGAUAAAAGGUACUCCGGGGAUAACAGGCUGAUACCGCCCAAGAGUUCAUAUCGACGGCGGUGUUUGGCACCUCGAUGUCGGCUCAUCACAUCCUGGGGCUGAAGUAGGUCCCAAGGGUAUGGCUGUUCGCCAUUUAAAGUGGUACGCGAGCUGGGUUUAGAACGUCGUGAGACAGUUCGGUCCCUAUCUGCCGUGGGCGCUGGAGAACUGAGGGGGGCUGCUCCUAGUACGAGAGGACCGGAGUGGACGCAUCACUGGUGUUCGGGUUGUCAUGCCAAUGGCACUGCCCGGUAGCUAAAUGCGGAAGAGAUAAGUGCUGAAAGCAUCUAAGCACGAAACUUGCC